Molecule: ribosomal RNA, 758 nt
Filed under: uncultured bacterium
Lineage: Bacteria
Description: bacterial SSU rRNA
Rfam family: Bacterial small subunit ribosomal RNA
Source: RNAcentral
AGAGUUUGAUCAUGGCUCAGGAUCAACGCUGGCGGCGUGCCUAACGCAUGUAAGUCGCGCGGCAAGCUUUCGAGCUUGCAGCGGCGAACGGCUGAGGAACACGUACGAACCUGCCCUCGCGUGGGGAAUAACGCGCCGAAAGGCGUGCUAAUACCGCGUACGCUCAGCCCUUUGGGGCUGAGGAAAGCCGUCAGGCGCGCGAGGAGGGGCGUGCGGCCCAUCAGGUCGUUGGCGGGGUAAAGGCCCACCAAGCCGGUGACGGGUAGCUGGUCUGUGAGGACGAUCAGCCAGACUGGGACUGAGACACGGCCCAGACACCUACGGGUGGCAGCAGCGAGGAAUCUUCUACAAUGGGCGCAAGCCCGAUAGAGCAACGCCGCGUGGAGGACGACGGCCUUCGGGUUGUAAACUCCUUUCGGGGGGGGAAGAUACGGACGGUACCCCCAGAAGCAGCCCCGGCUAACUCUGUGCCAGCAGCCGCGGUAAGACAGAGGGGGCAAGCGUUGUCCGGAUUUACUGGGCGUACAGCGCGCGCAGGUGGCCGAGUAUGUGCCGUGUGACAUGUGGGAGCUUAACUCCCAAGGGCCACGGUAGACAGCGCGGCUGGAGGCAGGGAGAGGGUCGUGGAAUACCCGGUGGAGCGGUGAAAUGCGUAGAGAUCGGGUGGAACCCAGCGGCGAAGGCGGCGACCUGGCCCUGAACUGACACUGAGGCGCGAGAGCGUGGGGAGCGAACAGGAUUAGAUACCCUAGUAGUCC